This is an RNA transcript of Molossus molossus (Pallas's mastiff bat), 3367 nucleotides long. It is a transcript of the gene named RAP1 GTPase activating protein, with no coding region annotated. The transcript is spliced from 26 exons. NCBI's taxonomy places the organism in Eukaryota, Metazoa, Chordata, Mammalia, Chiroptera, Molossidae. The record is from RefSeq and is a predicted model, not a curated record.
CGGCCGCCGCGGGCACCGGAGUGCCGAGCCCAGGACGCCCCCGGCCCAGGCCCGCGGGGUGGACAAGUCCUUCACUCCUCGCUUGAGUGUGUGGAGGAGUGAUGGGCAGAACCAGCGCUUCCCCCAGGCACUAGACCUGCCACGAGUGGACUUGGUCUCCCUACACACUACUUCACUCUACCCAAAGAACACAGAUCUCUUUGAGAUGAUUGAAAAGAUGCAGGGAAGCAGGAUGGAUGAACAACGAUGCUCCUUCCCACCACCCCUCAAAACGGAGGAGGACUACAUUCCCUACCCAAGUGUCCACGAGGUCCUAGGGCGAGAAGGGCCCUUCCCCCUCAUCCUGCUGCCCCAGUUUGGGGGCUACUGGAUUGAAGGCACCAACCACGAGAUCACCAGCAUCCCGGAGACAGAGCCUCUGCAGUCUCCCACCACCAAGGUGAAGCUGGAGUGCAACCCCACAGCCCGCAUCUACCGCAAGCACUUUCUCGGCAAGGAACAUUUCAAUUACUACUCACUGGACACUGCCCUGGGCCACCUUGUCUUCUCACUCAAGUAUGAUGUCAUCGGGGACCAGGAGCACCUGCGGCUGCUGCUCAGGACCAAGUGCCGGACAUACCAUGAUGUCAUCCCCAUCUCCUGCCUCACCGAGUUCCCUAACGUGGUCCAGAUGGCAAAGCUGGUGUGUGAAGAUGUGAAUGUGGAUCGAUUCUACCCUGUGCUCUACCCCAAGGCUUCCCGGCUCAUUGUCACCUUUGAUGAACAUGUUAUCAGCAACAACUUCAAGUUCGGAGUCAUUUAUCAGAAGCUUGGGCAGACCUCCGAGGAGGAACUCUUCAGCACCAACGAGGAAAGCCCUGCCUUCGUGGAGUUCCUCGAAUUUCUUGGCCAGAAGGUCAAACUGCAGGACUUUAAGGGGUUCCGAGGAGGCCUGGAUGUGACCCACGGGCAGACGGGGACCGAGUCUGUGUACUGCAACUUCCGCAACAAGGAGAUCAUGUUUCACGUGUCCACCAAGCUGCCCUACACAGAAGGGGACACCCAGCAGUUGCAGCGGAAGCGGCACAUCGGGAAUGACAUCGUCGCUGUGGUCUUCCAGGAUGAGAACACGCCCUUUGUACCUGACAUGAUUGCAUCCAACUUCUUACACGCCUAUGUGGUGGUGCAGGCCGAGGCGGGGGGGCCCGACUGCCCCCUCUACAAGGUCUCUGUCACUGCCAGAGAUGAUGUGCCCUUCUUUGGGCCACCGCUCCCGGACCCCGCAGUGUUCAGGAAGGGGCCUGAGUUCCAGGAAUUUUUGCUGACAAAACUGAUCAAUGCUGAAUAUGCCUGCUACAAGGCAGAGAAGUUUGCCAAACUGGAGGAGCGGACCCGGGCUGCCCUCCUAGAGACGCUCUAUGAAGAACUACACAUCCACAGCCAGUCCAUGAUGGGUCUGGGCGGCGACGAGGACAAGAUGGAGAACGGCAGCGGUGGCGGCGGCUUCUUCGAGUCUUUCAAGCGGGUCAUCCGGAGCCGCAGCCAGUCCAUGGAUGCCAUGGGACUAAGCAACAAGAAGCCCAACACUGUGUCCACCAGCCACAGCGGGAGCUUUGCACCCAAUAACCCUGACCUGGCCAAGGCCGCUGGAAUAUCAUUGCUUAUUCCUGGGAAAAGUGCGAGUAGAUUCGGACGCCGGGGCAGUGCCAUAGGCAUAGGAACCGUGGAAGAGUCACUGAUUGUCCCUGGGAAGAGCCCCACGAGGAAGAAGUCAGGCCCGUUUGGCUCGCGCCGCAGCAGCGCCAUCGGCAUCGAGAACAUACAGGAGGUGCAGGAGAAAAGGGAGAGCCCUCCAGCUGGCCAGAAGACACCUGACAGCGGGCAUGUCUCACAGGAGCCCAAGUCAGAGAACUCCUCCACGCAGAGCUCCCCAGAGAUGCCAACGACCAAGAACAGAGCGGAGACUGCAGCCCAGAGAGCAGAAGUGCUGAAGGAUUUCUCCCGCUCCUCGUCCAGCGCCAGCAGCUUCGCCAGUGUGGUGGAGGAGACAGAGGGCGUGGACGGGGACGACACAGGCCUGGAGAGCAUCUCGUCCUCAGGGACUCCCCACAAGCGGGACUCCUUCAUCUAUAGCACGUGGCUGGAGGACAGCGUCAGCACCACAAGUGGGGGCAGCUCCCCAGUGAGGUGGCUCCCUCCUGCCCCCCUCCCCAGGCCCGUCGCGGUCACCUCAUCCAGAUGCCGGCAAGUCGGGGGACCCUGCAUGUCCGGAAAUCAAGAUCCAGCUGGAAGCGGCUGAGCAGCACGGUUCCCAGCUGGGCUGUUAGCCAGGCUCCCCUCGGAAGGUGACUGAGCAGAUGAGGCCGAAGAAGCACAAGGUGAAGAUGCUGUGUCAAAUCCAGGCAGAUGGGACCUCUGCCCCGCAAGGCCACCACCAGCCUGUGGGUUGCCCCCUGUCUCCCCAACCCUCCCUUUGGCCCACCAACUGGGCUGUCUCUGCAGGGCAGAGCCAUCCAGACCUGGGAGCAGGGAAGCUACUGGCAUCCUCCUCACCCCACCCCACCCCCAGUCUGGGGGCCCAGGCUGGGGCAGGGAGUGGUCAGUUGCAGCAAGACUCUAUGCCUGACUUGCCCUGACCUGGGCCCUCCAUCACACCUUGGUGCCCCCCAGACUCAGGGGAGCACGGUGCGGGGCUGAGAUCUCUCAGUGCGUACAGAGCCACAGGCAGCGGGACGUGAGAUGUGAUGGGAUGAGCCCUGGGCUGGGAGUCCUGAGUCCUGGCUUCUAAUCUGGGCUCUGCUGUGUGUCUCCGGGCUCGCUCUCCCUGGGCACCUGUGCUACAAACGGACACGAUUAUUUCAGAGGUCACUGAAGACUGUGAUUCCAUGCUCCUGCCCCAGAAUGGGGGACUAGCCUCCCAUCACUUUACCCUGCUUCUUGGGGUCCCUGGGACCCCAGGUGGGCUGAGGGACAGGGAGCUGGCUGUGCCUAUUGCCCCUCCUGGACCCUCAAGCCCUACCACAGACCUUCGGGUGCCCUGUCCACUGCCUCCACGUGACAGACAAGUGGCCCCCUUCUGGGAGGGAGGGGAACCGACCCGGCUCCCCAGCCAGCACCCAGCUUCACCUCUGCCAUUCCCUGUUCUCCGCACUGCAGGCUGAGGGGUCUCAGCUGGCCUGGAGUUACAGGUCUCGCCUUUGUGACCCCCAUUCCCGUGGAGGGGGCAGCCAGGCAUAGCUGCUGUGAGUCCACACUUGUGUGUGUCUGUCCACACUUUUUAGGCGCCACGCCAGAGGCCAGCCUUCCCGCCCCAACACCCAUUAGGGAAGCCCCCGUGGCCGUGUGUAUGUCGGUAACAGUUGUACAAAAUAAAUUCUAUUUAUCGCUA